Molecule: ribosomal RNA, 497 nt
Filed under: uncultured bacterium
Lineage: Bacteria
Description: partial 16S ribosomal RNA
Rfam family: Bacterial small subunit ribosomal RNA
Source: RNAcentral
GAUGAACGCUGGCGGCGUGCCUAAUACAUGCAAGUCGAGCGAACAGACGAGGAGCUUGCUCCUCUGACGUUAGCGGCGGACGGGUGAGUAACACGUGGAUAACCUACCUAUAAGACUGGGAUAACUUCGGGACACCGGCGCUAAUACCGGAUAAUAUAUUGAACCGCAUGGUUCAAUAGUGAAAGACGGUUUUGCUGUCACUUAUAGAUGGAUCCGCGCCGCAUUAGCUAGUUGGUAAGGUAACGGCUUACCAAGGCGACGAUGCGUAGCCGACCUGAGAGGGUGAUCGGCCACACUGGAACUGAGACACGGUCCAGACUCCUACGGGAGGCAGCAGUAGGGAAUCUUCCGCAAUGGGCGAAAGCCUGACGGAGCAACGCCGCGUGAGUGAUGAAGGUCUUCGGAUCGUAAAACUCUGUUAUUAGGGAAGAACAAAUGUGUAAGUAACUAUGCACGUCUUGACGGUACAUAAUCAGAAAGCCACGGCUAACUACGUG